Molecule: ribosomal RNA, 505 nt
Filed under: uncultured bacterium
Lineage: Bacteria
Description: partial 16S ribosomal RNA
Rfam family: Bacterial small subunit ribosomal RNA
Source: RNAcentral
GACGAACGCUGGCGGCGUGCCUAAUACAUGCAAGUAGAACGCACAGUUUAUACCGUAGCUUGCUACACCAUAGACUGUGAGUUGCGAACGGGUGAGUAACGCGUAGGUAACCUGCCUGGUAGCGGGGGAUAACUAUUGGAAACGAUAGCUAAUACCGCAUAAUAUUAAUUAUUGCAUGAUAAUUAAUUGAAAGGUGCAAUUGCACCACUACCAGAUGGACCUGCGUUGUAUUAGCUAGUAGGUGAGGUAACGGCUCACCUAGGCGACGAUACAUAGCCGACCGGAGAGGGUGAUCGGCCACACUGGGACUGAGACACGGCCCAGACUCCUACGGGAGGCAGCAGUAGGGAAUCUUCGGCAAUGGACGAAAGUCUGACCGAGCAACGCCGCGGGAGGGAAGAAGGUUUUCGGAUCGUAAAGCUCGGUUGUAAGAGAAGAACGGGUGUGAGAGUGGAAAGUUCACACUGUGACGGAAUCUUACCAGAAAGGGACGGCUAACUACGUG